UUUAUGUCAUAUGUGUGGUAGCUGACGCCAUAAAGAAAACUCAAAGCCAACGAUAACCUGAGGAAUGCGUUGUAUUACAGGUGCUUCUGCCGCGGCGUCCCUGGAGAACAUGCAGUGGUAUUAAGUGGCAGAAUUCUCAGGAAUCCCUGUCCUGCCUUGGGAGCUCAGCAGGAAGCUUUUGGUGGAUCCCACUGCGCUACAGGAGGAGGAGGAGGAGAAUGAAGAGGUCCUUGAGUGUCUCUGAGCGUGACUGAAAUGUUCUGUGCCGGUUUGUUGUUCUGUUCUUUGUGCCUGGUUCUGUUAAAUUAAAAUGCCACUGAUCACAA
This 326-nucleotide long non-coding RNA is filed under the name Salarias fasciatus (jewelled blenny). Its description in RNAcentral is "lncRNA (ENSSFAG00005006467.1)". Lineage: Eukaryota; Metazoa; Chordata; Actinopteri; Blenniiformes; Blenniidae. The record is from RNAcentral.